GUGGGGAAUCUUAGACAAUGGGGGAAACCCUGAUCUAGCCAUGCCGCGUGAGCGAUGAAGGCCUUAGGGUUGUAAAGCUCUUUCAGAUGGGAAGAUAAUGACGGUACCAUCAGAAGAAGCCCCGGCUAACUCCGUGCCAGCAGUCGCGGUAAUACGGAGGGGGCUAGCGUUGUUCGGAAUUACUGGGCGUAAAGCGCACGUAGGCGGACCAGAAAGUCAGAGGUGAAAUCCCAGGGCUCAACCUUGGAACUGCCUUUGAAACUCCUGGUCUUGAGGUCGAGAGAGGUGAGUGGAAUUCCGAGUGUAGAGGUGAAAUUCGUAGAUAUUCGGAGGAACACCAGUGGCGAAGGCGGCUCACUGGCUCGAUACUGACGCUGAGGUGCGAAAGCGUGGGGAGCAAACAGGAUUAGAAACCCGGGUAGUCC
Molecule: ribosomal RNA, 425 nt
Filed under: uncultured bacterium
Lineage: Bacteria
Description: partial 16S ribosomal RNA
Rfam family: Bacterial small subunit ribosomal RNA
Source: RNAcentral